RNAcentral lists this ribosomal RNA (328 nucleotides) under uncultured eukaryote. Its description in RNAcentral is "partial 18S ribosomal RNA". It matches the Rfam family "Eukaryotic small subunit ribosomal RNA", at positions 1470 to 1796 of the family's 1831-position model. The record is from RNAcentral.
CCCUUAGAUGUUCUGGGCCGCACGCGCGCUACACUGAUGCAUUCAACGAGUUUCUUCCUGGUCCGAGAGGAAUGGGUAACCUUUUGAAAGUGCAUCGUGAUAGGGAUAGACUAUUGCAAUUAUUGGUCUUCAACGAGGAAUUCCUAGUAGACGUAGUUCAUCAGACUGCAUCGAUUACGUCCCUGCCCUUUGUACACACCGCCCGUCGCUACUACCGAUUGAAUGGCUCAGUGAGGCCUUCGGACUGGCUCAGGGAGGUUGGCAACGACCACCCCGAGCCGGAAAGUUCGUCAAACUCGGUCAUUUAGAGGAAGUAAAAGUCGUAACA